This 1676-nucleotide ribosomal RNA is filed under the name Candidatus Levybacteria bacterium RIFCSPLOWO2_01_FULL_36_10. RNAcentral describes it as "bacterial SSU rRNA". It matches the Rfam family "Bacterial small subunit ribosomal RNA". The record is from RNAcentral. Lineage: Bacteria; Candidatus Levyibacteriota.
AGAGUCUGAUCCUAGCUCAGGAUGAACGCUAGCGGCGUGCCUUAGAUAUGCAAGUCGAACGGUUUGACGCAAGUCAAGCAGUGGCGGACGGCUGAGUAACGCGUAGGAAUCUACCCCUAGGUAAAAAAUAGCUCACCGAAAGGUGGGGUAAUAUUUUAUAUUGUCCGAUUUAUUCGGACUAAAGAGCAUAACUGCUCGCCAAGGGAUGAGCCUGCGUCCUAUCAGGUAGUUGGUGGGGUAAUAGCCUACCAAGCCUACGACGGGUAGCUGACCCGAGAGGGUGGUCAGCCAGAGGGGGACUGAGAUACGGCCCCCACUCCUACGGGAGGCAGCAAUUAGGAAUAGUCGGCAAUGGGCGAAAGCCUGACCGCGCGACGCCGCGUGUAGGAUGAAGCUCUUUUUGAGUGUAAACUACUGUGGUAAAGGAAGAACAUUGAGCUUGCUCAAUUUGACGGUACUUUACUAGAAAGGGGUCGCUAACUGCGUGCCAGAAGCGUCGGUAAGACGUGGACCCCAAGCGUUAUCCGGUGUCAUUGGGCGUAAAGGGUAUGUAGGCUGUAUUGUAAGUUAUCUUUUAAAGCUUCCUUCUCAAAGGGAAAAAAGGGGAUAAAACUACAAUACUAGAAUUUCCUUUAGGGAGACUGGAACUUAGAGAGGAGUAGUGAAAUGCGUUGAUACUCUAAGGAACAUCAGUGGCGAAGGCGAGUCUCUGGAAGGUAAUUGACGCUGAAAUACGAAAGCUAGGGGAGCGAAGCAGAUUAGAGACCUGCGUAGUCCUAGCCCUAAACUAUGCUUGCUAGCUGCAUUCGCCUGGAUUUUUUAUGUUCUAAAAAAUCACAGGAAAUUCGAAUCUCGAAUCUCUAAACUCUAAACAAAUUCAAAUUUUUUAAUUUCAAAAUUUUAAAAAGGGGUUUUGAGUUUAUCAUUUUGUAUUUAGAUAUUGUUUAGGAUUUCGAAUUUAGAAAUUCGAGUUUCCCGUCUUAGGAUAUAAAAUAUCCAGACGGGUGUGGCGUAGGUAACCCGUUAAGCAAGCCGCCUGGGGAGUACGGCCGCAAGGCUGAAACUCAAAGGAAUUGGCGGGGAGGCACACAACCAGUGGAACAUGUGGUUCAAUUCGAAACAAACCGAAGAACCUCACCAGGGUUUGACAUCCAAGAGACGUCCCUAUGAAAGUAGGGAUUUCCGCAAGGACUGUUGGACAGGUGCUGCAUGGCUGUCGUCAGCUCGUUCCGUGAGGAGUACCCUUAAGUGGGAUAACGAGCGCAACCCCCAUCGUAUGUUACAAGUAUCAUACGAAACUGAUCGAGCUCAGCUCGAUAGGAAGGAGGGGCAGACGUCAAGUCAGCAUGGCCCUUAUACCCUGGGCUACACACAUGUUACAAUGGAUAGGAAUAAUGGGCUUUAGCUAGCCGGCAACGGUAUGCAAAUCCCAUAAAGCUAUUCUCAGUUGGGAUUGAGGUCUGCAACUCGACCUCAUGAACCUGGAAUUGGUAGUAAUCGCAAAUCAGCUAUGUUGCGGUGAAUACGUUCUUGCCUCUUGCACACACCGCCCGUCAAGCCAACAAAGUUGGAAUAAUUUGAACCGAGCUUUGCUCGGGAGGAUUUUUCUAGCGAUGGGGGUUAAGUCGUAACAAGGUAUCCGUUCUGGAAGGAGCGGAUGGAUCACCUCCUUUCUA